ACGUUUAGAUCCUUAAUACCCUUUCAUCUCCUCCUUUUUAUCUCUGCGUCACAAGAAUCGCUCCUACUCUGAAAGGGGAAAAUUGAAGAAUCGAAGAACAAAUAGAAGGUUAUAUAGACAAAAGCAGUUGUUAAUCUAGAAUAUCUCCUCCUUUGAAAGGAAGAAGCAAAGAAUCAAAGGAUAUGUGAAAGGCUAUGUUGAAAGGCAGACGCUAAUCUAGGUUCAUCAAUGGAAACUAUUGGAUCUCUUCAACUUCAUGAUGGUAGUCCCUCCAUGGAUGCCCAGCGCUAAAGAAGUACUAUUGGCUCUCUUCAAUACUUAACCUUCACAUGACUGGACAUAAGCUAUGCUAUCAAUAAACUUGCUCAACACAUGCAUCACCCAACAGAGAUUCAUUGGCAAGCACUAAAGAGAAUUCUACGCUACUUGAAAGGUACCACAUAUCAUGGUCUUUAUCUACGUCUGAAUAAAAAGCUCUCUCUUAUAGCCUUCUCUGAUGCAGAGUGGGCCGGUGAUAAAGACAAAUUUCUAUUAAGUGCCUAUGUUAUAUAUCUUGGAGGAACGCCUAUUUCAUGGACUUCUAAAAGGCAGCGAAUAGUAGCUUGUUCUUCCAUUGAAGCUGAAUAUCGCACAAUUGCCACAUCAACUUCAUAAAUUUUGUGACUCGGUACAUUGUUUCUUGAACUCAAAGUGACAGCCCAUCAACAACCGAUCAUCUUUUGUGAUAACAUUGGUGCCACAUAUUUUUGUGCAAAUUUGGUUUUUCACUCCAGAAUGAAGCACUUAGCUCUAGACUAUCAUUUUGUUUGUGAAAAGGUUACCACUAGGCAACUUCGUGUACAACAUGUCUCGAGUAAGUAUCAACUGGUAGAUCUCUUAACCAAGCCUCAAACAAAGCAACGACUACUGCAAUAUUGUCCCAAGAUUGGUGUCUCCAAUGGGAGCACCAUCUUGCGGGGGCGUGUUAAAGAGAAAUUAUAGCAUUCAGUUAUGGAGAAAUAUCUACAAACACCCGUUAUGGAAAAUCCACACAAUUAGUAAUCCAUAGAGUCAAAUGUCUACGUACAACUGUAACUUGAUUUGUUUACAUAUUCAUCUUAUUCAUAUCCCUAUAAUCAUGAUUCUCGUUG
Non-coding RNA from Jatropha curcas, 1130 nucleotides. The record is from RefSeq and is a predicted model, not a curated record. NCBI's taxonomy places the organism in Eukaryota, Viridiplantae, Streptophyta, Magnoliopsida, Malpighiales, Euphorbiaceae.